Molecule: long non-coding RNA, 658 nt
Organism: Peromyscus maniculatus bairdii (prairie deer mouse)
Lineage: Eukaryota; Metazoa; Chordata; Mammalia; Rodentia; Cricetidae
Source: RefSeq, a predicted model, not a curated record
GUCAAUAGUCCACUGGGUUGAAGAUGUCAUUGUAAAGUUCUGUCAUUCUGAAAUAGACUUCACAAGAAGUGAAUGUUUGCACAGCUCUUAUUGGAGAGCUGUGAAGGAGUGAUCAGUGAGUCUCUAUUCAGGACGUCAUCUGUCACUGACAUCAUCUCCAACUCAGGAGAAAUGAAGAAGGUAGAGGACUCAUCCUGGGCUGCCCCAGUUGUCUGCAUGCUGCAUCUCUGAGCUCAGCCACUGGGGCCCUGGACAGUUCCCUGCUGUUCAGAUACUGAACUUGGGGCAGGGUAAGACCACCUGUUGGGUCCUGAACAUAAGCUCCACCGGGCUCUGGGCACCGAGCUUGAGGCACAGGAUGGACAGCCAUAGAGGCACUGCCCAUGAGCAGCAUCAAAGCAACACUAUGACCGUUCUGUGGAAGCGAGUCUGGCCAAAGAAGCUGAAGUUUCUCCCCACCCAUCAUGAGGACUUGAAUUCAGUUCCAGGCAUCCACAUGGCAGCUCACAGCCAUCAGAACUCUAGUUCCGGAGGAUUUGACGCCCUCUUCUGGUCUUUUUGGACACUGCAUGAAAGCGAUGCUCAGACCUACACAUGGGAAAAAUAUCCAUGCACAUAAAAUAAAAAUAAAUAAAUAUUUUUAAUUCCAAAACUAAAA